GACGAACGCUGGCGGCGUGCUUAACACAUGCAAGUCGAACGGAAAGGCCCUGCUUUUGUGGGGUGCUCGAGUGGCGAACGGGUGAGUAACACGUGAGUAACCUGCCCUUGACUUUGGGAUAACUUCAGGAAACUGGGGCUAAUACCGGAUAGGAGCUCCUGCUGCAUGGUGGGGGUUGGAAAGUGUCGGCGGUUGGGGAUGGACUCGCGGCUUAUCAGCUUGUUGGUGGGGUAGUGGCGUACCAAGGCUUUGACGGGUAGCCGGCCUGAGAGGGUGACCGGCCACAUGGGGACUGAGGUACGGCCCAGACUCCUACGGGAGGCAACAGUGGGGAGUAUUGCACAGUGGGCGGGAGCCUGUUGCGGCAACGCCGCGUGCGGGAUGCCGGCCUUCGGGUUGUGAACAGCUUUCGCCUGUGACGAAGCGUGAGUGACGGUAAUGGGUCAAGAAGCACCGGCUAACUACGUG
RNAcentral lists this ribosomal RNA (468 nucleotides) under uncultured bacterium. Its description in RNAcentral is "partial 16S ribosomal RNA". It matches the Rfam family "Bacterial small subunit ribosomal RNA", at positions 28 to 507 of the family's 1533-position model. The record is from RNAcentral.